AGUGGAUGGGGAGCAACCUAGUUGUGCGUGUGUAAAGGUAGUGCCAAGAAAAGCGAUGAUCAUGUUGAAAAUCAAUUCCCGGUACCCGAAACCGACACAGGUGGGCAAGUAGAGAAUACUAAGGGGCGCGAGGUAACUCUCUCCAAGGAACUCGGCAAAAUGACCCCGUAACUUAGGGAGAAGGGGUGCCACCGAGAGGUGGUCGCAGUGAAGAGGCCCAGGCGACUGUUUAGCAAAACAUAGGUCUCUGCAAACUCGAAAGAGGAGGUAUAGGGGCUGACGCCUGCCCAGUGCCGGAAGGUUAAAGAAGUUGGUCAGUUUUAGGAUGAAGCUAGCGACUGAAGCCCCGGUGAACGGCGGCCGUAACUAUAACGGUCCUAAGGUAGCGAAAUUCCUUGUCGGGUAAGUUCCGACCCGCACGAAAGGCGUAACGAUCUGGGCGCUGUCUCGGAGAGAGGCUCGGCGAAAUAGGAUUGUCUGUGAAGAUACGGACUACCUGCAUUUGGACAAAAGACCCUAUGAAGCUUUACUAUAGCUUGGAAUUGUGUUCGGGCUUCCUGUGCGCAGGAUAGGUGGGAGGCGUAGAAGGUAUUCUUGUGGGGAUACUGGAGCCAACGGUGAGAUACCACUCUCAGGAGGCUAGAAUUCUAACUUAAUUAAGGACAGUUUCAGGUGGGUAGUUUGACUGGGGCGGUCGCCUCCAAAAAGGUAACGGAGGCGUACAAAGGUUCCCUCAGACUGGUUGGAAAUCAGUCGAAGAGUGCAAAGGCAGAAGGGAGCUUGACUGCGAGAAGUACAGUUCGAGCAGGGUGGAAACACGGUCUUAGUGAUCCGACGGUGCUGUGUGGAAGGGCCGUCGCUCAACGGAUAAAAGUUACUCUAGGAUAACAGGCUGAUCUCCCCCAAGAGUUCACAUCGACGGGGAGGUUUGGCACCUCGAUGUCGGCUCAUCGCAACCUGGGGCGGAAGUACGUCCCAAGGGUUGGGCUGUUCGCCCAUUAAAGCGGUACGUGAGCUGGGUUCAGAACGUCGUGAGACAGUUCGGUCCAUAUCCGAUGUAGGCGUGAGAAUAUUGAGAGGAGCCUUCCUUAGUACGAGAGGACCGGGAAGGACGCACCGCUGGUGUACCUGUUAUGAUGCCAAUUGUAAACGCAGGGUAGCCAAGUGCGGAGAGGAUAACCGCUGAAAGCAUCUAAGUGGGAAGCCCACCUCAAGAUGAGUAUUCUGGUGUAAGGUCACGGGAAGACGACCCGUAAAUAGGCACGAGGUGGAAGUGCAGAGAUGUAUGAAGCCGAAGUGUACUAAUAGACCGUCGGCUUGACC
Molecule: ribosomal RNA, 1323 nt
Filed under: metagenome
Description: bacterial LSU rRNA
Rfam family: Bacterial large subunit ribosomal RNA
Source: RNAcentral